Molecule: small nuclear RNA, 107 nt
Organism: Delphinapterus leucas (beluga whale)
Lineage: Eukaryota; Metazoa; Chordata; Mammalia; Artiodactyla; Monodontidae
Source: Ensembl
GUGCUCACUUCGGCAGCACAUACACCAGAAUUGGAACGACACAGAGAAGAUUAGCAUGGCCUCUGCGCAAGGAUGACACAAAAAUUCGUGAAGCGUUUAAAAAAAAA